RNAcentral lists this ribosomal RNA (513 nucleotides) under uncultured bacterium. RNAcentral describes it as "partial 16S ribosomal RNA". It matches the Rfam family "Bacterial small subunit ribosomal RNA", at positions 28 to 507 of the family's 1533-position model. The record is from RNAcentral.
GACGAACGCUGGCGGCGUGCUUAACACAUGCAAGUCGAACGAAAAGAGGGAAAGAGCUUGCUCUUUCCGGAAUUGAGUGGCAAACGGGUGAGUAACACGUAAACAACCUGCCUUCAGGAUGGGGACAACAGACGGAAACGACUGCUAAUACCGAAUAAGUUCCAAGGGCCGCAUGGCCCAUGGAAGAAAAGGUGGCCUCUACCUGUAAGCUAUCGCCUGAAGAGGGGUUUGCGUCUGAUUAGCUGGUUGGAGGGGUAACGGCCCACCAAGGCGACGAUCAGUAGCCGGUCUGAGAGGAUGAACGGCCACACUGGAACUGAGACACGGUCCAGACUCCUACGGGAGGCAGCAGUGGGGAAUCUUCCGCAAUGGGCGAAAGCCUGACGGAGCAACGCCGCGUGAGUGAUGACAGCCUUCGGGUUGUAAAACUCUGUGAUCCGGGACGAAAAGGCAGAGUGCGAAGAACAAACUGCAUUGACGGUACCGGAAAAGCAAGCCACGGCUAACUACGUG